AACUUUGCACAGUGGCAGUAUUCUAGCCAACAAGGUUUAUCUGAGGCACAGUUAUUGCUAAUUAAAAACCUCCUGGUGUCUGCCAUGACAACUUGAAAUAUAGUCAGCAUUGGCAAUUUUUGACAAUCUAUUAGAGA
This is a small nuclear RNA of Nycticebus coucang (slow loris), 137 nucleotides long. RefSeq annotates it as U4 spliceosomal RNA. NCBI's taxonomy places the organism in Eukaryota, Metazoa, Chordata, Mammalia, Primates, Lorisidae. The record is from RefSeq and is a predicted model, not a curated record. The transcript has a single exon.